Molecule: ribosomal RNA, 253 nt
Filed under: uncultured bacterium
Lineage: Bacteria
Description: partial 16S ribosomal RNA
Rfam family: Bacterial small subunit ribosomal RNA
Source: RNAcentral
UACGUAGGUGGCAAGCGUUGUCCGGAUUUACUGGGCGUAAAGGGCGUGCAGGCGGUCUGUUAAGUGCAGGGUGAAAGCUCCCGGCUCAACUGGGAGAGGUCCUUGCAUACUGGCGGACUUGAGGGGGGUAGAGGAAAGUGGAAUUCCCGGUGUAGUGGUGAUAUGCGUAGAUAUCGGGAGGAACACCGGUGGCGAAGGCGGCCCUCUGGACGGAUACUGACGCUGAGGCGCGAAAGCGUGGGGAUCAAACAGG